Nicotiana tabacum (common tobacco) is the source of this 264-nucleotide long non-coding RNA. RefSeq lists it as uncharacterized. NCBI's taxonomy places the organism in Eukaryota, Viridiplantae, Streptophyta, Magnoliopsida, Solanales, Solanaceae. The record is from RefSeq and is a predicted model, not a curated record.
AUAACACCCCUAACCUUCCCCUCAAGUUCUCCACAUGGGUUUCCAAUAAGAUUAUCAUCCGGGGCACGAAAUCAAGUAGCGAUAACAUUAAAACGAUCCCUACGACAUUGAAUUGAGUUGUUUGAAGAGUUGCUUGGGAGGUAUUAAGGACUCAACGUGGUUAAGGUCCCGAUUGUUAGGUUGAUAGUCUUCCUAGUAGGCUAUUAGCUCAGCGGAGGUGUUGGUGCACUCCACUUGCUCCGGAGUUGCCUAUUUGGUCAGUAU